GCCUCCGACAUAUGUACAUAGCAUAAUUCAAGAUCCAAAUCUCAUAGAAAUUUUUGUAUAUUUUAUGGCUGCAUCUAACCUCCUCGUUAGACUGCCUACGUACCCUCAAUAGGGAUCAAGUCAUUCGUAGUUCAUUGUUUCACUACAAUCGAAUAUUCAUCACAUAAAACGUUUUGUCCCAACAAUAUACCACAAUGCGUAUUAUGCGAUAUAUCAAAGAACAACGACGAAACAAACAUAUUUUCUAGCCAUAUUUAUCAACAAGUCUAAUCAUAACAAAUACAAUGAUAUCCAACAUAACAAUCCCACAUGACGAUUAACAUUUCCACUUCAUCCAUCACAUAAAUCAUCAUGUUUCACAUAUCACCGCAAAUCAUAGUAUGCAACAUCUCAAAGAACGGUCAACGAAGCACAAAGUUAUUCUCUAGCCACAUUGGUCAACAAGUCUAAUCAUAAUGACAACAAUCACAACCAACAUCAUUCACAAUCACAUCAAUCAAUAUCACAUAUCAUAGACCGAAAUGCAGGGCUAGAGCGACACAGUUUGGCUGAAGACUACAUUUCUGGAAAAGGGGAUUUUGGACCAUCCAACAGAAUCAAAGCACCAAAGGGGACUCCGGACCAUCACUC
This 630-nucleotide long non-coding RNA is filed under the name Malus domestica (apple). RNAcentral's name for it is "long non-coding RNA (MDOM_LNC017287)". The record is from RNAcentral. Lineage: Eukaryota; Viridiplantae; Streptophyta; Magnoliopsida; Rosales; Rosaceae.